GGCGCGCCUAACACAUGCAAGUCGAACGGACAAAAUUACUUCGGAAUUUGUUAGUGGCGGACGGGUGGAGUAACACGUGAGCAACCUGCCUUACAGAGGGGGAGUAACGUUUGGAAACGAACGCUAAUACCGCAUGAAAUAACAGAGUCGCAUGGAACUGUUAUCAAAGAUUUAUCGCUGUAAGAUGGGCUCGCGCCUGAUUAGAUAGUUGGUGAGGUAAUGGCUCACCCAAGUCGACGAUCAGUAGCCGGACUGAGAGGUUGAACGGCCACAUUGGGACUGAGACACGGCCCAGACUCCUACGGGAGGCAGCAGUGGGGGAUAUUGCACAAUGGGGGAAACCCUGAAUGCAGCGACGCCGCGUGAGGGAAGAAGGUUUUCGGAUUGUAAACCUCUGUCUUGUGGGACGAUAAUGACGGUACCACAGGAGGAAGCCACGGCUAACUACGUGCCAGCCGCCGC
Molecule: ribosomal RNA, 462 nt
Filed under: uncultured bacterium
Lineage: Bacteria
Description: bacterial SSU rRNA
Rfam family: Bacterial small subunit ribosomal RNA
Source: RNAcentral